This 1760-nucleotide ribosomal RNA is filed under the name Gossypioides kirkii. RNAcentral's name for it is "bacterial SSU rRNA". It matches the Rfam family "Eukaryotic small subunit ribosomal RNA". The record is from RNAcentral. Lineage: Eukaryota; Viridiplantae; Streptophyta; Magnoliopsida; Malvales; Malvaceae.
AUUGUAGGUUUGCAUGCAACAAGAUUAAGCCAUGCAUGUGUAAGUAUGAACAAAUUUAGACUGUGAAACUGCGAAUGGCUCAUUAAAUCAGUUAUAGUUUGUUUGAUGGUAUUUGCUACUCGGAUAACCAUAGUAAUUCUAAAGCUAAUACAUGCAACAAACCCCAGCUUCUGGAAGGGAUGCAUUUAUUACAUAAAAGGUCGAUGCGGGCUUUGACCGUUGCUCUGAUGAUUCAUGAUAACUCGACAGAUCGCACGACCUUUGUAUUGUGACGUAUCAUUCAAAUUUCUGCCCUAUCAACUAUCAAUGGUAGGAUAGUGGCCUACUAUGGUGGUGACGGGUGACGGAGAAUUAGGGUUCGAUUCCAAAGAGGGAGCUUGAGAAACGGCUACCACAUCCAAGGCAGUAAGCACGCAAAUUACCCAAUCUUGACAUGAGGAGGUAGUGACAAUAAAUAACAAUAUCGGGCUCUAUGAGUCUCGUAAUUAGAAUGAGUACAAUCUAAAUCCCUUAACGAUGAUCCAUUGGAGGGCAAGUCUGGUGCCAACAGCUGCGGUAAUUCCAUCUCUAAUAGCAUAUAUUUACGUUGUUACAAUUAAAAAGCUCGUAGCUGGACCUAGAGGUGGGUUGGCUAGUCCGCCUCACGGUGAGCAUCAAUCUGCUCGUCCCUACUACUAGCAAUGCGCUCCUAGCCUUAAUUGGUCGGGUCGUUUCUCCGGUGUUGUUACUUUGAAGAAAUUAGAGUGCUCAAAGUAGGCCUACGCUUGUAUACAUUAGCAUGAGAUAACAUCAUAGGAUUUCGAUCCUAUUGUGUUGGCCUUUGGGAUCAGAGUAAUGAUUAACAGGGAUAGUCAAGGCAUUCGUAUUUCAUAGUCAGAUGUGAAAUUCUUGGAUUUAUGAUAGACGAACAACUAUGAAAGCAUUUCCUAAGGAUGUUUUCAUUAAUCAAGAACGAAAGUUGAGGGCUCAAAGGCCAUCAAAUACUGUCCUAGUCUCAACCAUAAAUGAUACCGACUAGGGAUCGGUGGAUGUUGCUUUUAGGACUUCGCCGGUACCUUAUGAGAAAUCAAAGUCUUUGGGUUCUGAGAGGAGUAUGGUUUCAAGGUUGAAACUUAAAGGAAUUGACGAAAGGGCACCACUAGGAGUGGAGCCUGCGGCUUAAUUUGACUCAACACGGGGAAACUUACCAGGUCUAGACAUAGUAAGAAUUGACAGAUUGACAGCUCUUUUUUGAUUUUAUGGGUGAUGGUGCAUGGUCGUUCUUAGUUAGUGGAGCGAUUUGUCUGGUUAAUUCCAUUAACGAAUGAGACCUCAGCCUGCUAACUAGCUGCAUGGAGGUGAUCCCCCGUGGCUAGCUUCUUAGAGGGACUAUGGCCUUUUAGGCCAAGGAAGUUUGAGGCAAUAACAUGGAGGUGAUCCUUCGCAUGUGCGCUACACUGAUGUAUUCAACGAGUCUAUAGCCUUGGCCGAUAGGCUUAGGUAAUCUUUGAAAUUUCAUUGUGAUGGGCAUAGAUCAUUGUAAUUGUUGGUCUUCAACGAGGAAUUCCUAGUAAGUGUGAGUUAUCAGCUUGCGUUGACUAUGUCCCUUCCCUUUGUACACAUCGCCCGUCACUCUUACCAAUUGAAUGGUCUGGUAAAGUGUUCAGAUCAUGGCGACAUGGGCAGUUCACUGCCCGUGAUGAUGCGAGAAGUCCACUGAAUGUUAUCAUUUAUAAGAAGCAAAAGUCGUAACAAGGUUUCCGUCAGGUUCAAGGUUUCCG